GUCGGUUAGGUAUUUCGUCAAACACCACAUGAGCAUAAGAAAUUUUAGCUAAUCUCUCGCUCAAUUGAUGUAAAGCAGCACCCAAAAUUAUCAGAAAUCCCAAGAAAAUCCAACCAAAUCAACACAUAAAACACGUAUAAUCAUAAAAUUAUGGGCCAUCAACAGGGGAAACGCAACAACCAAGUCAUGGCAGACCCAUUUGAAAAACUUUCCAAAACUUGUGAUCAAGGAAAAAAAAUGAAAUACAAAUGAAAGGGAUAACUUACGGUGGACUGCUAGCGGCGGUGCUCUUCUGGCAGCAGGACUGGAGGCAGUCGGGGAUGGCGGUGUCCUUGAGAUCGACUGAGAUAGGCAGAGUAAGCCUUAGCGUUUGAUUAUAGGGGGUUUUCCGGCGGCUUGGGGGGGGCUUAAGCCCCCACCAGCCCCCCCUUAAAUCCGUGGCUGAUUGCACAACCACAAGGGAAAAGCAGGGAGCUACAGCAUGCCAUCUUAGCAAAAACAAAACCCAACCUCUAGGAUAAUUACCAAAAACUUCAACUACCCAACUCUGGUAAACAAAAUUUCUGGGAUAAGAACAACGCAAAACGCAAGCAAAAAUCAUCUUCAAAGCAGGACUUUCGGUUAGGCAUUUCGUCGAACAGCAAAUAGGCACUAAAAUUUCACCGACUUUUUUUGCUCAAUUAAGGUCAUUUUCAGCCCCAAAAGUUUGCCAGAAACACAGCAAACAGUCCAAUUAACACAUAUAGCAUGCGUAUUAAAAAAUCAUGAACAAACAACCGAAAAUUGCAACCAAACACAGUCACGGCAGCCUGUUUCAAAGGCUUGAACAAAACUGAAGUUUUAAAGAAGAAAAGACAGCUUACCGUGCUCUUGCUUGAUGAAAAUUGGCCGGUGAUGAUGGUGGAUUCGGUGAAGUGGCGGCGCUGGCGGUGGUCGACGGCAGUGGUGAUUCUGGUUCUUACUCUCCUCUGCCUCCGUUUUGAUUUUUCCCUAGCCCGAAGCUUCUUUCUUCCUCUUGUUCUGGUUCCUGCUCUUGUCUUCCUCUCAGAAACUCCCCGAAGUUCUCCCUUUCACUUUCGCGUCUCCCUUUUCUCUAACCCUAGCAGUCCAUUUUCCUCUUAGUUUUCUGCUUUGUUCCGCCGCCCCUUGUCUUUCCUUUGCUUUGUUUCUUUAGCCCAAACCUGCUCUCAGCCUCUCACCUGUUUUCCCACCGAAGCCCCUCUCGUUCUCUCCUUUUUCUUCUCGCUUGUUCCUCCAGCCCUCUGUUUCCCCUGCGUUUUUGGCUCUUUUUUCCUCCUCGUGCCCGUCAGCCGCGCACCGCUCUUUUUUACUUUUUCUCUGUUUUUUGUUUCCGUGAGCUUCCCCUCGUCUUUUCCUCGUUCACUCACCGAAGCCCUCGCUCCUCAGCCCUCAGCCGCUAAACUUCACCAUAUCUUUUUUUCCUUUCAAUCUUCUCUUCAUUUUCUUUAGACUCCGAUGAAGCACCUCCUUUUUUUCCGUUUUUUUCGUUGUUCCACGGUUCCUUUCAUCCGCCACCCCCUUGGUUUUCUUUACUGCGCUGUUUUUUCCAGCCGCCUCCCCUUCGUCGGUUCUCUCCUUUCUUUUGUUCUCUUCGGCCACCAAACCAGGUGUCCCCCCUACUCAGCCGCCAAACCUCCUCUUUGUCUGCUUUUUUUUUCAGACCGCCGUUGCCCUUUUCUCUCUUUCUUUUCUUUCAAAAUAUCUAUCCUACAAGUUCUAGACACCGUCACCAAUCUAGGUGAAGGUGAGGUGUUGUCAAAUGCAAAAGGGAUCACUGAUCUCUAUCCAUGAUCCCCAUUUGUCAUUAUUUUUUUUGCUUUUUUCUUAUUCUCCUUUUUUUUAGUACGAACAAAAAUAAAAUAAUAAAAUAAAAUGAAUUCAAGAGCAAAUUAAAGAUACAAAUCAAAUAAAAACUAAAAAUAAAAGCCCCUAAGAAUGAAUACAAAUAAACCUAUUAAAUUAUUUAAACCAAAAAUAAAAUUAAAAAAAAACAAAUAAUUUGGUAGUCUACACAGUUUCAAUAAAAUAAUCAUUUUCCGCAACAUGUUGAGACCAAUCAAUCAUGUUUUUUUUUUAUUUUUAAUGUUUGAAGGCAUCAGAUUUCUUAUUGCAUAGUAUUAUUCUUCUAUUUUUAGUACAAAAACACAAAUUUUCCGUCAAUAUAUGUGCAAAAUUUGUUGAAUUAGCAUAUAAGUGAAAAUAAUACUUUUAUAAUUGCAAAAUAUUAGGCGCCUGCAAUUUUUUAUAAUUGCAGCACUAAAGUACAUCAUAAUGAAAAAUAACGAACAGUCAAUUCUAUGGUUAAACAAGACUUUUAUUAAAAAUAAUCAAAUGUAUUAAUACGACAUUUUGUUAAGUCAAAGAUCAAAGAAAUUUAGUGUAUGAAUAUGUUAGUCACUAAUAUUAUUUCAAGAUUAUAAUGACAAAGAAAGUCAAUCAUACAAUUAAAUGCUAGUUUUUAAUAUAUGUCGAAUUGGCUAGUUUUUGAAUAACUUUUGUGAACAAUAUUUAAUGGUUUGAGAAUUUUGUUCACAUUACUGCAAGUGAUAUAAAUGUAGCUUUGUUCUUUCUUUCAACAUUUAUUUUAAUGUUUAAUUUUGUUAAAAAAUUAUGUACUAGUGAUAGAUUUGGCAAGACAACUACUUAGCUUCAAUAGUUAAAAAAUUCAUUACAGAGAAAACACAAAGUAGUAGUUGCAAAAUGUGUAUAAAUUACAGAUAUUUUGUUAAUUGCUUUGUAGUACUUUGUUAUUCCUUUGCUAAUACUACUUGGCAUGUAGUACAAAGGAUAAAUCUGCCAUAAAUUUCUUAUUCCAUUGAUAAAAAGACCUGCCUGCCUUAUAACUAUUGUAAUGAAAGAUAUAUCUUUAGAAUUUAUAACAGAUUAUUACUUAAGUUUGAGAAAAUUAUAAAAUAUUUAUGCAUAGUUUAUCAAGAUACCAUUCGCAAUUUCCUAAUAAAAAAUAGGGGCUAAAUUGUAAAAGCUAGGGUGCCAUAAUAGAAAUAAUAAAAUUGGUGUAUUACAUAUGGGGGUUAAAUUGCAAAAGUUAGAGUGCCAUAGUAGAAUUAAUGAAAUUGGUGAAUUACAUAUGGGGCUAAAUUACAAAAGUUAGGGAGUAAUAAUAGAAUUAAUGAAAUCGGUGUACUACAUAUGGGGCUAAAUUGAAAAAGUUAAGGUAUCAUAAUGGAAUUAAUGAAAUUUAUUACAACAUUUGGGGCUAAAUCGCAAAAGUUAGGGUGGCACAGUAGAAUUAAUGAAAGUGACUUAGAAAUAAGUACUUUAAACAGUGACGAUUAAUUCUUGUCACUAAAUCCGAAUCGGUAGAGUGACAGUGACGAUAUUAGAAGUUGUCACUAUAUAGAUCAUUUUAGUGACAACUUUUUCAAGGUUGUCACUGAAGACUUAGUUGCUUUGAGCAAUUAUGACAACUUUCCUUGUCGUCACUAAAUAACCACUUUUUGUGACGACUUUUGUCGUCACUAAAAAAUGUUGUCACUAAUGACCAUAUUUCUUGCAAUGUAGUUUGUGACGAAAAUAACGGGUCGUCACUAAACAUUUAGUUGCUUUGAUGCAAUUGUGACAACUUUAGGUGUCGCGACUAAAGAAACCCCUUUUGUGACGACUUAUUGUCAUCACUAGAGAAUGUUGUCACUAAUAACCUUUUUUUUAGUGAUCAGUGACGACAACAAAAAGUUGUCCGUAACUAGGCCAAGCAAUAGUGAUGAUGUUUUUAAUGUCGUCACUAUUGUGUGUUCCAAACACUCCCGCACUCUUGCUAAAUCUUGGCGGGAAUUUACUAGUGACGACUUUUCUAAGUUGUCACAAAUGAGUUGGCUCCCAUUAGAGGUUUGUGACGAGUUAGAAAGUCAAAUAUUACCCUUUUGUUGCAAGAUCAAAUCAGAAAAUCUGGUUUGGUGACAGCUAGCAAAAACAAAGGGGUAGCAGUGGUUUUCAAAAUAACAAAACAAAAAUGCAGCGAAAAUGUUUAACUCUUGUUUGAAGUGCCGAACCAAAACAUUCAAGAAAACAUGCUAAAGAUCAGAUCUUGAAUUUGAACAAAAUACUAAACAUGCUAAUCCAACACCACUUAUCUAAUCCACCUUUUCAAUAUAAGACCAAUCAGCAGGUUGGAUGGCUGAAACUUGGUGAGCAAUUGCAGAAAAAAGAAAACAGCAAAGAGGACUGCAAAAAUUUUAUUCUGCUGCAGAUUUGAUGCUCAUCAAAAUGCAACCAAAAUGGCUUAGAGCUCUGCCAUAACUUCAAACAAACUCACAAGAUAAAAAUCUUAGGCACAACCAUAAUCUUGCAAUAAAAACUCAGUAUUCACAGCAAAACAGCCUCGCAGAUCAUCGGAUGAAGGAAACUAACAGCUUUCAUUCAAAAAUGGCAGAAAUGAAACAACAAUAGCCAAACUGAAAAACAUAUUCUACUAAAGGGAAAUUGAUACGGGUCAACUUAUUCACAUGCUAAGUGUAGAAUCCUUUGAAAAGAACAUACAAAGCCAUGAGAAACUUUUCUUUUGAGCAACAAAUAUUCUCUGCAAUAAUUUUAUUCCCAACCGUGGCUUUCUUCUAAUUCAUCAUUUCAAAUCUAUUGCACAACCACAAGGGAAAAGCAGGGAGCUACAGCAUACCAUCAAAACCCAACCUCUUGCAUAAUUGCCAAAAACGUCAACUACCCAACUCUAGUAAACAAAAUUUCUGGGAUAAGAACACGCAAAAUGCAAGCAAAAUCGUCUUCAAGCAAGACUGUCGGUUAGGUAUUUCGUCAAACACCACAUGAGCAUAAGAAAUUUUAGCUAAUCUCUCGCUCAAUUGAUGUAAAGCAGCACCCAAAAUUAUCAGAAAUCCCAAGAAAAUCCAACCAAAUCAACACAUAAAACACGUAUAAUCAUAAAAUUAUGGGCCAUCAACAGGGGAAACGCAACAACCAAGUCAUGGCAGACCCAUUUGAAAAACUUUCCAAAACUUGUGAUCAAGGAAAAAAAAUGAAAUACAAAUGAAAGGGAUAACUUACGGUGGACUGCUAGCGGCGGUGCUCUUCUGGCAGCAGGACUGGAGGCAGUCGGGGAUGGCGGUGUCCUUGAGAUCGACUGAGAUAGGCAGAGUAAGCCUUAGCGUUUGAUUAUAGGGGGUUUUCCGGCGGCUUGGGGGGGGCUUAAGCCCCCACCAGCCCCCCCUUAAAUCCGUGGCUGAUUGCACAACCACAAGGGAAAAGCAGGGAGCUACAGCAUGCCAUCUUAGCAAAAACAAAACCCAACCUCUAGCAUAAUUACCAAAAACUUCAACUACCCAACUCUGGUAAACAAAAUUUCUGGGAUAAGAACAACGCAAAACGCAAGCAAAAAUCAUCUUCAAAGCAGGACUUUCGGUUAGGCAUUUCGUCGAACAGCAAAUAGGCACCAAAAUUUCACCGACUUUUUUUGCUCAAUUAAGGUCAUUUUCAGCCCCAAAAGUUUGCCAGAAACACAGCAAACAGUCCAAUUAACACAUAUAGCAUGCGUAUUAAAAAAUCAUGAACAAACAACCGAAAAUUGCAACCAAACACAGUCACGGCAGCCUGUUUCAAAGGCUUGAACAAAACUGAAGUUUUAAAGAAGAAAAGACAGCUUACCGUGCUCUUGCUUGAUGAAAAUUGGCCGGUGAUGAUGGUGGAUUCGGUGAAGUGGCGGCGCUGGCGGUGGUCGACGGCAGUGGUGAUUCUGGUUCUUACUCUCCUCUGCCUCCGUUUUGAUUUUUCCCUAGCCCGAAGCUUCUUUCUUCCUCUUGUUCUGGUUCCUGCUCUUGUCUUCCUCUCAGAAACUCCCCGAAGUUCUCCCUUUCACUUUCGCGUCUCCCUUUUCUCUAACCCUAGCAGUCCAUUUUCCUCUUAGUUUUCUGCUUUGUUCCGCCGCCCCUUGUCUUUCCUUUGCUUUGUUCUUUUUAGCCCAAACCUCUCUCGGCCUUCUCUGUUUUUCCCCACCGAAGCCCCCCUCUCGGUUCUCUCCUUUUUCUUCUCCUUGUUCUCAGCCCCUCUGUU
RNAcentral lists this long non-coding RNA (6039 nucleotides) under Coffea arabica (coffee). RNAcentral's name for it is "long non-coding RNA (CARA_LNC008107)". Lineage: Eukaryota; Viridiplantae; Streptophyta; Magnoliopsida; Gentianales; Rubiaceae. The record is from RNAcentral.